UGGGGAAUAUUGGACAAUGGGCGCAAGCCUGAUCCAGCCAUGCCGCGUGAGUGAUGACGGCCUUAGGGUUGUAAAGCUCUUUCGCCAGGGACGAUAAUGACGGUACCUGGAUAAGAAGCCCCGGCUAACUUCGUGCCAGCAGCCGCGGUAAUACGAAGGGGGCUAGCGUUGUUCGGAAUCACUGGGCGUAAAGCGCACGUAGGCGGAUCUUUAAGUCAGGGGUGAAAUCCCGAGGCUCAACCUCGGAACUGCCUUUGAUACUGGGGAUCUCGAGUUCGGGAGAGGUGAGUGGAACUGCGAGUGUAGAGGUGAAAUUCGUAGAUAUUCGCAAGAACACCAGUGGCGAAGGCGGCUCACUGGCCCGAUACUGACGCUGAGGUGCGAAAGCGUGGGGAGCAAACAGG
This 404-nucleotide ribosomal RNA is filed under the name uncultured bacterium. Its description in RNAcentral is "bacterial SSU rRNA". It matches the Rfam family "Bacterial small subunit ribosomal RNA", at positions 355 to 776 of the family's 1533-position model. The record is from RNAcentral. RNAcentral also lists the same sequence under 1 other name.